RNAcentral lists this ribosomal RNA (300 nucleotides) under uncultured Thermogemmatispora sp. Its description in RNAcentral is "bacterial SSU rRNA". It matches the Rfam family "Bacterial small subunit ribosomal RNA", at positions 496 to 795 of the family's 1533-position model. Lineage: Bacteria; Bacillati; Chloroflexota; Ktedonobacteria; Thermogemmatisporales; Thermogemmatisporaceae. The record is from RNAcentral.
GGUAACUCUGGGACAGCGUCGGGGGUAAUAGGGGGGGUGCAAUGGUUAUCCGGUUUCACGUGGUUUAAAGGGUGGGUAGGCGGGUAUUUAAGUCAGUGGUGAAAUCUCCAGGCUCAACCUGGAAACUGCCAUUGAUACUAUUUAUCUUGAAUAUUGUUGAGGUAGGCGGAAUAUGUCAUGUAGCGGUGAAAUGCUUAGAUAUGACAUAGAACACCGAUUGCGAAGGCAGCUUGCUAAACAAUUAUUGACGCUGAGGCACGAAAGCGUGGGGAUCAAACAGGAUUAGAUACCCUGGUAGUC